CUUCGUCAUGCUCUGGCGUCAAUGGGCGGUACUGGCGGGGAUUCGGCUGGAUCAUCGACGACCAUCUUCGCGAGCCCGCGCGACCGACUGCAGGUUCACAUUUUUGUGGGAUAUCCGGGAGAUUAGGGCUUGGGGGCGUGGGGCGGUCAAGUUACUACCCAAAUCUAGAAGAAACACCAAGGCUGAUAAGAAAACCGAGGUGUGGACAUUCUGCAUUGCCUCUGGGAUCUUCAUUGCAGGGUUGCUCAAGUUAUGGGCUCUGUGACGAUGGAGGCAUGGUGGUGUGAGUGGUAGCGAGAGUAGAGGAAAUGGUGGUGCAGCGCCCUGUGGAACCAGUAGUAGAGAAACUCAACAGGUCCUAUGUGAAGCAACGCCAUGAUGAUGGCUCCCUUUGUUUCCCACAUUGGCAUGAAUCUGGUACUCGGUAUGGCUGCAUAACCCAAGUAGAAGAACAGCCCAGAGAGGAUGAUCUGGUCAUCCCUGUACAGAGUGGUAUGUGCCAGUUAAUUUGAGUGUGAUAGAAGUGAAUAGCAGGAUGUGCGCAUAUAUGACUUACCAGGAUCUCUCCCGGUCCACCUGCUCGAAUUCAAGACCGCGGUCAACGAUGAUGUGCUUCCUGCGUGCGGUUUGGUGGUGAGACAAGCUGAUCCAGAUCUGGUUGUGGAUCAUCCUCAGAAGCAGAGCUGGUAGCAUGGCGGCGUAUGCUGUAUCCAUGUCUCCCCACCCACUGGUGACCACCCUGUGCGCAGUGUGCAAUGCCGCAGGUGCGAAGACCAGGUACUGCUUGCAGUGCAUGGUUAGAGUAUCAUGUGACAUUGAGGGAUGGGAAUUAAUCAGCGGUGUAUAGCAGGUGGUAAUCAGAUCUUUGAUUGUUCGGAAGCUAUUGCCGUGGCUUCAAGCUUGAAAACUUCUACGUUUUGAAGAGAAAAGGAGGAUCACAAGGCCAAUGAAUGCAAACGGUUCAAGGUUUCAUGAGAAUGGCAUGAGCUGCCCAGCAAUACAUCUUUAUGAUUUGAUUGCUGCUAUCAGGGAUUUUACCGGUGCCUAUGUUAUCAUACUCUGGUCGCUAUCCACCGUGCAAGAAGCAUGCAAAGGAAUUUGUCAAAGAGAGGAACUCCAAACGGACAGUAGCACGUAAAGUGCAGACAAGAUGUGACAUACCUUGAAGCUGCCCAUCCAGUGCCAUGGCCAUUGGGUCAAAGGGCCCGGCUGUGCUGCCAUGGUAAUGGAUGCACGACCACUUUCCUCUCUUCCAAGGUAAGCAGCUCCCUCAGCAAGCAAGCUCUGCUACGAACUUCAAGCUCCGGUUG
This is a long non-coding RNA of Triticum aestivum (bread wheat), 1310 nucleotides long. RefSeq lists it as uncharacterized. The record is from RefSeq and is a predicted model, not a curated record. The transcript is spliced from 7 exons. Lineage: Eukaryota; Viridiplantae; Streptophyta; Magnoliopsida; Poales; Poaceae.